This 79-nucleotide transfer RNA is filed under the name Pseudogymnoascus destructans 20631-21. Its description in RNAcentral is "tRNA-Leu (TAG) (tRNA-Leu-TAG-1-1)". It matches the Rfam family "tRNA". From Rfam's summary of the family: Transfer RNA (tRNA) molecules are approximately 80 nucleotides in length. Their secondary structure includes four short double-helical elements and three loops (D, anti-codon, and T loops). Further hydrogen bonds mediate the characteristic L-shaped molecular structure. tRNAs have two regions of fundamental functional importance: the anti-codon, which is responsible for specific mRNA codon recognition, and the 3' end, to which the tRNAs corresponding amino acid is attached (by aminoacyl-tRNA synthetases). tRNAs cope with the degeneracy of the genetic code in two manners: having more than one tRNA (with a specific anti-codon) for a particular amino acid; and 'wobble' base-pairing, i.e. permitting non-standard base-pairing at the 3rd anti-codon position. Lineage: Eukaryota; Fungi; Ascomycota; Leotiomycetes; Thelebolales; Thelebolaceae. The record is from RNAcentral.
GGGAGUCUGGCCGAGUGGUUAAGGCGCUGUGUUUAGGCCGCAGUGGGAAACCGCGCAGGUUCGAAUCCUGCGGCUCUCA